AAACUAAAGGAAAAGAAGAAAGAAUGGAGAGGGAGAGAGAGAGGGAGAGAGAGGGAGAAGCAGAGACAUAGAGAGACUUAACUCAGCUGUGCGGGACAGAGGGCAGAAGGAGGAGGACUUGCACUGAGACAAGAGGGCGAGGCCUGAGCUGGAGGAAUGGGAGAGGCCUGAGCUGCCCCCUGCCUCGCCUGCCUGCUUCUCUGAUAGCAGCCUUGUGCUGUGAGGGCAGAGUGUGGGCCACAGGUCACGGGACACUAGGGGAAGGAGCUGUGCAUCUCUCCCCUCACCAUGGCACUGGCACCUGAGUUUCCCUUGGCCCUCUUGGAGAUGACUCCAGCACCCUUGUCCUGCGAGUGUCCUCCCUCCUCCUGCCUCAGAAGAGUCUUGCUCUCUCUGUCCCUUGGGCUGUGAGAAUGGUGAGGUGCCCAGUGCAGGGAGGAUGUGAACAUCGGCCUCCGUCUCGGGUCACUGUGUGUGUGGGUGUGUGUGGAGGGCGGGGCUCACUGCAGAUCUGAGCACAGAGCACAGGAGUAGAGAGCUUCCUGGAGGGAAGGACUGCCCUAGGUCAGCCCUGGGCCUGGAGCCGGGGGAGCCUUCCCAGAGAGCCACCACUGACCAGCAAUGGCCAGCUCAGCUCGUCACCAGCAGGCCGUGCGGAAGAGCCCAGGAGGAGCCCCAGGGGUGAGUGACUCACUGGAGGACUGGAGGUGGCUGGGCUCGGUGGCGGGCGGGGGAAGCCGGUGUGCUCAGAAAGAGCUGGCUGUGCAGAAGGAGAGAGGGGAGGAAAGGGGAUGCAGGAGAUCACCUGCAUGAUGCACAGCCCCCACAGCCCUGUCUCCGGUCCCGGCAACCCGCGGGCCACGGGGGCUGGGAAUCCCAAGUGCCCACACUGAGGAUGGCCCAUGGAGUCUCCCAAAGGUGCACGCGAGCACUCAGCCAACGUCCAAAGGCAAGAAUGGCGGGAGGCAGCAAGGCUAGUGCUUGUGCUAGGGGCACUGAGGAAGCCGGGUUUCUUAGACCCCAGAGGGAAGCAGUGGUGGGGGUAGAAAUCCUGCUUCUGUGUAUCAGUGCUCCUGAUGGCCAGGACCAUGGAAGUCCAGGAAUAUGCACCAGGCUUUCAGGGGUAGGCAAUGGUGUCCAGCAGUGGGAAUGUCACUUGUCCAUCAGCCCAGCCUUGAUGUCGGCCUUUCGGGGAUGAGCCGUGGGGAUGAGCAGGCCUUGGAGCUGGGUGAGGGGAGGGCGUGGGUGGUGGGGAGCAGCUGGCUGUCAUCCUUACCUUGGCUUCUCUGAAGUCUCCUCAUCCGUCUUCUCCAGGUGCUGAUGGGCUCUCGUUUCAUCUCCAUGGCACCCUCAGAGGCAGCGGGACCCCUUCCUCCCCACAGCUUGGCUUGGUGUUUCCCAAGCUGUAUGCUCCAUGAGGAACUGCCACCCAGUCCCCUGGGCUCCUCACUAGCUCAGGAACUAAGGAGCCAGCUCCAAGCACCAUGCCUUCUCCACCUGCUGUGGAACCAUCCCUUCCCUCUGUUUGCUGAAGGCCUCUUUGCUCUUCAGUCUCUGCUGACUUCCGGAACACUUUCUGUUCUUCCGUGGCACCAACUUUAAAGCUGCAAGCGGAACACAAGGCUUCCUCACAUCAAAGAGCUGAGGUCUGACAGGUCCCCAGGCACUGAUGUGGAGUCUGAGGGAUGAGCUAAGUAUGACUUGAAGGAUGGUUUAUGGGCCAGCACAGCCAUCCCUGGGAGCAGGUUUGAAAUUCACAAGCUCAUGGACAACAAACGAGAUCCUCCUGGGCUCAGGAUGGGGCUGGACGUAUUUGGAGAGUUCUUUUGUGAUUGCGCCAGGAGCUUCAGGCUUACUGGGGAGCAGCCUAAGGAAAAGUAGCCAUUGUGGGAACAGCCAGAGCUUAAUCGGAUCGAUAGGUGGAGAGACCACAGCCUGAGUGAACUUCCCCUACGUGACCAGCAGGUGGCGGGCGUGCACCAGUAGCGCUUCCCAUAGGCUCCUGCAGGACCAGGCCAAGUAAGAUCCUCACCCACCGGCAGGGCAGCCGAGUUUGGGGCAGUGUUAGACUCGCCAGGUGAAAAACUCUUCCAUGGCCUCCGUCCCAGAGCCUGGCCCUGGAGGCUGCUGUGGCACUAGGGUAGCAUCUCACUGCCACAGCCUCCCAGGGAACCCCAGGUUUGGUCCCAGGACCUGUACAUAUGUCCUCAUUAACUCUACCAGGAACCGGGUUAUGGAUGAAGUUAAAAUGGAAAACUGAACACACUGUAAAAGCCCUAUUGUGUGGCAAGGGUCAUCAGACAGCAAAAGAUAUCUUCAUGUGUCUACGAGGGGAAGGAACCCUGCUUGUGAGUCAGAGGGCUCGCAGGACCCAGGGGCUGGAUCAGGAUCGCAGUGGUGCGGUAGCAAUGAAAGCAGGGGCCUUGUCUGAUCAGCCUCUUGCUGAGCAUUUUCUUCCCAGAAAGGACAGGAUACUGCGCAGAGCAUGGUCUCUGAAACCAGGAUGCUAACAGUACCAUCUGGCUACCUACUAGGAGUGUGUCUUUGGGCAUGUUACUUAACCUUUUGGCGCCUCAAUUUCUCCAUUUGUAAAAUGAAGAUAAUAGGACCAUAACUUGCAUCCAUUAUGCAGUUUUUAAAUGAUUUUUGAUACACACACUGGCACAUACAAAUAGUUCAUGCAAAACGUAUGUGUACUGUCGUUGCCCUCCUUUCAUUUGAGUCUCUCCUUCAAUAAAAUGGGCAAAGUCACCUGGUGCACCUAGAAGAUAUCAGCUGAGCUCCAGAAGAAGAAUUCAGGGUAAGAAGGCCCAAGCGUUGACACCACCCCUUCUUCUUCAGGUCUUCUUUUUCUCACACACGAAGCCAGCCUGGCUCACCUUCCUCAUGUCUGCCACCACAGAACGGUGCUGUUCAUCUGGCGGCCACAGCUCGAUGGGGCCCUGGUGUCAAGUAUUUGCAGGUUGCUCUCAGCAGCUUGAAGGACCAAGACACAAAACAGAAAACCGAAGCAACUGCUAGGCCAGCUGCACUUGUCUGCCUCCAUCUCACCCACCCACCCCACCUUCAUCAAGAUGCUUAAUUCUUUCUGGGCAGGGCCUUGCUAUGUAGUUCAGUGAGGGGUUGAACUUACUUUAUAGCCCAGGUUGACCUCGAACUCACAGCAAUCCUCUUGCUUCAAUCUCCCGAGUGCUGGGAUUACAGGCAUAUGCCAACAUUCCUGGCAAGGUGCUUAAUUCUUUGGUCCACGUCUCCUGUGCUAUGGAUUGGCUCCCUGGGACUUGCUGUCUGACCACAUAUGAGCACUUCCCAUCCCUGGGUCUUUCUUAAAUCCUCUAACUUGUGAGGGUCUCCCAGUAGCAGGAGGCUGGGUGUGGCAACGUGGCUGGAGCAGUCGGUUACAAAUGAGAAGUCUUAUUAACCACAGACACAGAACAGCAGCACCCAAGCCUGAUGGGGGGUCAAGCUGAGCGCUGUACCCAGUACCAAUCUUCUGACAUGAAAACACAGGAACCUGGCACCUGGUAUCAGUCUUCCUGCUUGGGACGAAGUGGAGCCUCCUGGAUCAGCUACUAAGAUGCAGAAAGACGGCAGCAUCUGACUUGUGACCUCUUGCUCCCAGAGCAGCCCCUGUGCAUGCAGAAGCAUCUUCUCUUUUCCUUUCAAGGCACCCUUUUCUCCCUGAGCACUUCCUUUGUGCUUCUUGUCCUUUUUCUUAUUUCUACCCUAAAAUAAAUGGAAUCUUUCACAUCCACCAAUUGUCCUGACCAGUUCACUGAUCAGGACAGAUGAGGACUUGGGAAACACUGCUGGUCCCUAAUCCCCCCAUCCGAUAACAUCACUACCCUUCUUCUCCAAUCCUGGAGCCACCCUCAUUCCCCCCCAAUGUGUGGGACUCUGAGCAAGUGACUUUCAUGCUCAGGCCUCAGUCUCGUCACCUGUGGAGUGAAGAGCUCAGCGAGGUGACCUCUGAACACUCAUAGCCUGUGACUCUGUGAACACUGUGGGGCCACAGGGAUCCCAGAGCUUUGUAGCUUGGGAAUCAUUUUUGCCAGAUGCUGUGGCAGCCUGAGGUAUCCCUCAGAGGUCUGGGAUGAACUGGGCGUUUUGGUCCCAGCAUGGCAUGACUGAUGCUUAGACUCCUGGGUUGGGCUUUGAGGUGCUUCCUCUUCAUGGGCUGUUGGAGGCUUGACCUUGGCCAAGACCAGAGGAGCCGGAGGAGGAUCCUUCUCCUUCCUCAGCUCUGCUGUGACUGCUUUCCCCUACCCCCCAACCCCAAGCUUGCUUUUUCCCAGGGUCAGUUUGUGGCUGUCUCUGCCUGCAACCCCUACAUUUACUCACCAAGUGCCCCUUCCCUGGCUGGUGUAGCAUGGCCUCCUCCUGUCCACCCACAGCUGCCUCUGCCUUUCACAACUUCCCUCCAGAUGCACCUGAAGAACGAGCAGGAGAAGGUAACUGAGCGGACAAGCUGGAGCCUAAGACUAGCAGAGCUGUCUUCAUGGAGACACAGGCAGAGGACAGCGUGGCUCCCAGCCCACCUGUGCGAAUGAAGCAGACUCCCAAGGGACUGCAUUUCCCCCAGCAAAGGAAGGAGAGAACUGCCACCUCCCCAGAGUUCAGGAGGAGAAAUGGACCCAUCUCCCAUGCUCACACCUGCCAAGGCGCUUUGCGUGUCGACGUGUGACUGUUUCUUCAUCUCUUUCCUCCAUUAGACAUCAGCCCCUCACGGGGUCCCCUCACUUGACAGCAUCUCAGCAAACAAGGCUUUGGCCCUUGGAUUCUGUGGCUAGCAGUCAUGAGCUUUGUGAAGAACAGGUCUGGCAGUAAAAGGGUCGAUGAUUUGAUAUCUAACCUUGCCGUGAGAAAGUGGGGCUGAGUAUACCCAUGAAUGAGCACGAGUCUUUGAUUUCUGGUGUGGCUGCAUCUCUGUAUAUAUUUUUGUUCCCAGUCCCACGGAUAGGCUUUUCUUGUUUGUCUUGUUUUUAUU
Long non-coding RNA from Chinchilla lanigera (long-tailed chinchilla), 4987 nucleotides. RefSeq lists it as uncharacterized. The transcript is spliced from 4 exons. The record is from RefSeq and is a predicted model, not a curated record. Lineage: Eukaryota; Metazoa; Chordata; Mammalia; Rodentia; Chinchillidae.